GUGAGGAAUAUUGGUCAAUGGACGGAAGUCUGAACCAGUCAAGUAGCGUGCAGGAUGACGGCCCUAUGGGUUGUAAACUGCUUUUAUGCGGGGGUAAAGUGAGUGACGUGUCAUUCAUUGCAAGUACCGCAAGAAUAAGGACCGGCUAAUUCCGUGCCAGCAGCCGCGGUAAUACGGAAGGUCCUGGUGUUAUCCGGAUUUAUUGGGUUUAAAGGGAGCGUAGGCCGUCAGGCAAGCGUGUUGUGAAAUGUCGUGGCUCAACCAUGGACUUGCAGCGCGAACUGCCCGACUUGAGUGCGCAGAAAGCAGGCGGAAUUUGUGGUGUAGCGGUGAAAUGCUUAGAUAUCACGAAGAACCCCGAUUGCGAAGGCAGCCUGCUGUAGCGCUACUGACGCUGAAGCUCGAAAGUGCGGGUAUCAAACAGGAUUAGAUACCCGGGUAGUCC
Molecule: ribosomal RNA, 445 nt
Filed under: uncultured bacterium
Lineage: Bacteria
Description: partial 16S ribosomal RNA
Rfam family: Bacterial small subunit ribosomal RNA
Source: RNAcentral